AACGAACGCUGGCGGCAGGCCUAAAACAUGCAAGUCGAACGCCCCGCAAGGGGAGUGGCGCACGGGUGAGUAACGCGUGGGAACGUGCCCUUCACUACGGGACAACGUCGGGAAACUGACGCUAAUACCGUAUAAUGACUCCGGUCCAGAGAUUUAUCGGCGAAGGAGCGGCCCGCGUCUGAUUAGCUAGUUGGUGAGGUAAAGGCUUACCAAGGCGACGAUCAGUAGCAGGUCUGAGAGGAUGAUCUGCCACACUGGGACUGAGACACGGCCCAGACUCCUACGGGAGGCAGCAGUUAGGAAUAUUGGACAAUGGGCGAAAGCCUGAUCCAGCCAUGCCGCGUGCGUGAUGAAGGCCCUAGGGUUGUAAAGCACUUUCGUUGGGGAUGAUAAUGACCGUACCCAAAGAAGAAGCACCGGCUAACUUCGUGCCAGCAGCCGCCGUAA
RNAcentral lists this ribosomal RNA (447 nucleotides) under uncultured bacterium. RNAcentral's name for it is "partial 16S ribosomal RNA". It matches the Rfam family "Bacterial small subunit ribosomal RNA", at positions 29 to 523 of the family's 1533-position model. The record is from RNAcentral.